UUUUUUUCUUUUUUUUUUUUUUUUUACUGGGCUGUGGAACAUUCUUUUCAAAGACACAUAAUUUUUGACUUCAAGAUUCCAAAUGAUUAUGAGUUUGUCACUUCCCAUGAGAAGAAAUGUCAGUCAUUAAUUGCCCUCCAUCUAGCAAGAUGCUCAAAAAUAAGGUCAGAUUCAUUAUGUUUUCCAAAGUUGCAUUUAAUUGGCAGUUUAUAUGUUUCAGACUUCUGCUUUCACCCUCAGUAAUAUCUUGUUAUGCCUUUAACUGCUAGAUUAAACAUUCCUACAUCUCAGAUCACAGAUUGCUGUAUAAAGCAGACUAUGAAAGAAAAGUAGUCACUUUAAUCACAUUGCUUAAGUCACUGUGGGAAGUAAUUCCAAUAGCUAAGAAAAUAAUAUAAUUACUUUUGUUUCAAUUGCUUUGUUUUUCCUCUUUAAUUUACCAACAUAGCAGACAAUCCUAAAAAGCAGCUAUUACAAAAAUGCAUUUUAAAGUGAAAGAUUUGCCUGGAUUAAUUUUCAUUUCCAAUGAACAAUCCUUGUAUUCUGUACCUGAAGAACAGGCAAGGAAAGGAAAGAAGCCAUUUUUCCUUCUUGAAACUAAAGGGUGUAAUUUUCAGCUGUUUAUUUGGGUUUUGUCAACACAUCAGAAAACCAUCUUAACUACUGUGAUUCCCAUUAAUUAGCUCACUGGAAUAAAUACAGCUGUCAAAGCAAAAUAGGGUAUUGUGGAAUUUCCACACACAAUAAAUCAUUACCCCUUUAAAGGACAAAUGUUAGAAUUAAUAAAAAUUUUUAAGUACAUGAAACUGACAGCACACACUGAAAAAUGCUUAGAUUUUGCACAUUGAAUCUAAUUUUUGUUUACAGAAAGUAUUGCAUGAAAUGGAACCAAAAUUUCAUAUCAGGAUGAUUUUUGUAUAUAAAAUUGCUGUCAAUUGAGAAUAUUAAUCUAAAACUGAACAUUAAGAAGUUAAAUUACUGAAAACACAAAAGAUUAUUUUUUUUUUCUUCUGAAUGCAUAGUACUACAUCCAAUGGUACCUGUGUGAUAAUAUGUGCAAAACCUGAAAUCUAUUAAAAUAUCUGCUGUUCCUGUAUUUAAUCUCUACCAAAUUAAGUGUUAAUAGAUUGUGGCCUAAUUGUAACAUGAUGUUUAAUUUUUCAUCUUAUGCAAAAUUUUACUGUGGGGAAGGGGAAAACAGCAAGAUGUUUCUCAUUUUAAAAGUGCAUGUUUGCUGCUGCAGCUGCAGCUUUGGCUUCAUUUCAUAGUUAGAACUCUCAAAGGGCAUAGAAAGAACAGUAACAGCCACUAUGGCCCCAAACUUAUCACCUCCUAAAUACAAGUGGAAAAUUUAGACAGGAGGAAAAUUAAACCUGGUUUCUCUUCUAAUAAAAGAUUUUCACUAAAAAAAAAAAAACAAGAAACCCUAAAAAAACACCAAAAAGACCCCAAACACAUUAACUAGUAAAUUUAGACCAAUGUCAGUGAACCAAAAUCCAGAAAAGAAAAUAACUGCUUUUUUAGUAAUUUUGAGAAUGUUGAAUUUUCCAUUUUCCCCCUCGUGACACACUUUUCUGCUUUUCAUCAGGAAAAAUCUUCUGAUAAAGAGCUGCAUGAGCAGAAAAAAGUAAUUCUUUUGAACACGUACACACGUAUACCAAAAGGUUCCAUCUAGAUAGCAGGAAUAUCCACAGUAUGAAUUCUGAAAUAAUAUAAUAAUGUUCAUUUAUUGUGAGCUCUCAACUCCUCACCUUUGCCCUGCUGAUGAAUCCAUUCCUCUUGGGAUGAGUGGAACAGUACCAGACUCUCAGAAAUUUGCCAAAAGCAGGAGUUCUGUGAGACUGAAAAAAAAAGAUGAUUUCUAAAGUGAAAGUAACUGGCCAAAAAAAAAAAAAAA
RNAcentral lists this long non-coding RNA (1897 nucleotides) under Taeniopygia guttata (zebra finch). RNAcentral's name for it is "lncRNA (ENSTGUG00000023999.1)". Lineage: Eukaryota; Metazoa; Chordata; Aves; Passeriformes; Estrildidae. The record is from RNAcentral.